AAAUCCCAUUGAGGAACCCCAAAACCGCAUUAAGGAAUCCCCCAAACUCCAUUGAGAAACCACAAAUCCCAUUGAGAAACACCAAAACCCCAUUGAGAAACCCCAAAUCGCAUUAACAAAACCCAAAUCCCAUAGAGGAACCCCAAAUCCCAUUGAGGAACACCCAAAACCCCAUUGAGGAACCCCAAAUCCCAUAGAGGAACCCCAAAUCCACAUUGAGAAACCCCCAAAACCCCACUGAGGAGCCCCCAAAACCCCAGCAUUGGGGGGUUUAAUGGAGGUUUUGGGACCCCAAAACCCCAUCAGCCCCCCAAGACUGGAAAAGGAACCCCCAAAGGGGUAUCAGAACCCCUUGGGGGACCCCAAAACCCCAUCAGUUCCCCAGUACUGGGGAAGGAACCCCCAAAGUGGUACCAAGGCCACUUGGGAUCCCAGUUCAGGACCCCAAAACCCCAUCAGCCCCCCAAUACUGGGGAAGGGGACCCCCAAAGGUCCUGUAUGGGACCCCAAAACCCCAUUAUCACCCCAAUAUUGGGGAAGGAACUUCCAAAGGGUUACCAGAACCCCUUGGGGGACCCCAAAACCCCAUCAGCCCCCCAAUAUUGGGGAGGAGACCCCCAAAGAGCUACCAGGACCCAUUUGGGGACCCCAAAACCCCGUCAGCCCCCCAAUAUUGGGGAAGGGACCCCCAAAGUGGUACCAGGGCCUGUUUGGGGGACCCCAAAACCCUAUCAGCCCCCCAGUACUGGGGCAGGGGACCCCCAAAUGUCCUUUAUGGGACCCCAAAACCCCAUUACCACCCCAAUACUGGGGAAGGGGACCCCCAAAGGGCUCCCAGGACCCCUUGGGGGACCCCAAAACCCCAUCAGCCCCCCAAUAUUGGGGAAUAAACCCCCAAAGGGUUACCAGAACCACUUGGGGGACCCCAAAACCCCAUCAACCACCCCAAUACGGGAAAAGGGACCCCCAAAGGGGUACCGGGACCCCAAUACCGGGAAAAGGAACCCCCAAAGGACUACCAGAACCACUUGGGGGACCCCAAAACCCCAUCAGCCCCCCAAUAUUGGGGAAGGGGACCCCGAAAGGUCUUGUAUGGGACCCCAAAACCCCAUCAGCCCCCCAUUAUUGGGUCAGAAACCCCCAAAGUGGUACCAAGGCCACUUGGGAUCCCAGUUCAGGACCCCAAAACCCCAUUACCGCCCCAAUACAGGGAAAAUAACCCCCAAAGGGCUCCCAGGACCCCUUGGGGGACCCCAAAACCCCCCGAAUUUUGGGGUCCCACCUCCCGAGAGCAUGUAGUCGCGGAGCAGGGGCAGGCGGAACCAGCAGGGGAGGGUGAGGAGGUGGGGGCGCAGCCCCGGGAAGAGGACCCCAAAACCCGUGGCCUCGGUGCAGAAGUUGGCGAAGGCGCCGGCGGCCAGGACCCCGUGGGGGUGGAAGCCGAAAACGUAAUUUCGGCGGGGGUCCAGCUCCGCCGUCCGCACCAGCUAUAGGGUCGGGGGGAAAAGGGUGAGAUGGGGUGAUCCCAAAACCGCCCCCGGACCCUAAAGGGCCUCGGGAAGCCCCCAAGGCGCUGAGGGUGACCCAAGGCAUUGGGGAAGCCCCAAAUCCCAUUGAGGAACCCCAAAUCCUAUUAAGGAGUCCCCAAAUCCCAUUAAGGAAUCCCCAAAUCCCAGUGAGGAGCCCCCAAAUCCCAUUGAGGAAGCCCCAAAUCCCAGUGAGGAAACCCCAAAUCCAAUUAAGGAAUCCCCAAAUCCCAAUGAGGAGCCCCCAAAUCCCAUUGAGGAAUCCCCAAAACUCAUUGAGGAGCCCCUAAAUCCCAUUGAGAGAACCCCAAAUCCCAUCGAGAAAACCCCAAAUCCACUGAGGAGCCCCCAAACCCCAUCGAGGAAUCCCAAAUCCCACCGAGGAGCCCCCCAAUCUCAUCGAGGAAUCCCAAAUGCCAUUAAGGAACCCCCAAACCCCAUUGAUAAAACCCCAGAUCCCAAUGAGGAAACCCCAAAUCCAAUUAAGGAAUCCCCAAAUCCCAUUAAGAACCCCCAAAUCUCAUUGAGGAAACCCCAAAUCCCAGUGAGGAGCCCCCAAAUCCCAGUAAGGAGCCCCCAAAUCCCACCGAGGAGCUCCCAAAUUCCGCCAAGGAAA
RNAcentral lists this long non-coding RNA (2142 nucleotides) under Anas platyrhynchos platyrhynchos (common mallard). RNAcentral describes it as "lncRNA (ENSAPLG00000021805.1)". The record is from RNAcentral. Lineage: Eukaryota; Metazoa; Chordata; Aves; Anseriformes; Anatidae.